UGCCAGCCGCCGCGGUAAUACGGAGGGAGCGAGCGUUGUUCGGAAUUACUGGGCGUAAAGGGCGCGCAGGCGGUUUGCCAAGCCAGAAGUGAAAUCUCCGGGCUCAACCCGGAAAUGGCUUUUGGAACUGGCAGACUAGAGACCGGUAGAGGAUGGUGGAAUUCCCCGUGUAGAGGUGAAAUUCGUAGAUAUGGGGAGGAACACCAGAGGCGAAGGCGGCUAUCUGGACCGGUACUGACGCUGAGAUGCGAAAGCGUGGGGAGCGAACAGGAUUAGAUA
Molecule: ribosomal RNA, 279 nt
Filed under: uncultured bacterium
Lineage: Bacteria
Description: partial 16S ribosomal RNA
Rfam family: Bacterial small subunit ribosomal RNA
Source: RNAcentral